GCGUGGGUGGUGUAGUGGUAACAUAGGUCGUUGCCAUCACAGGCGACCAGCUCUCCAGCGUCGGGUGUUCGCAACAUUCGACCUGCCCGGGGUUCGAUUCCCUGUCCACGCA
Violaceomyces palustris is the source of this 112-nucleotide non-coding RNA. Lineage: Eukaryota; Fungi; Basidiomycota; Ustilaginomycetes; Violaceomycetales; Violaceomycetaceae. The record is from the annotation of a GenBank genome assembly.